RNAcentral lists this transfer RNA (65 nucleotides) under Bovicola bovis (cattle chewing louse). RNAcentral describes it as "tRNA-Trp". Lineage: Eukaryota; Metazoa; Arthropoda; Insecta; Psocodea; Bovicoliidae. The record is from RNAcentral.
UAGGAAGUAGGUUAAGUAAAACCACUACCGUUCAAAGGUAGAAAAGUCAAAAUCGACCUUCCUUA